UACGUAGGGUGCAAGCGUUGUCCGGAAUUAUUGGGCGUAAAGAGCUCGUAGGCGGUCUGUCGCGUCGGAUGUGAAAACUCGGGGCUCAACCCCGGGCCUGCAGUGGAUACGGGCAGACUAGAGGUAGGUAGGGGAGAAUGGAAUUCCCGGUGUAGCGGUGAAAUGCGUAGAUAUCAAGAGGAACACCUGAGGUGAAGACGGGUUGCUGGGCCGACACUGACGCUGAGGCGCGAAAGCCAGGGGAGCAAACGGG
This 253-nucleotide ribosomal RNA is filed under the name uncultured bacterium. RNAcentral describes it as "partial 16S ribosomal RNA". It matches the Rfam family "Bacterial small subunit ribosomal RNA", at positions 524 to 776 of the family's 1533-position model. The record is from RNAcentral.